Rhineura floridana is the source of this 891-nucleotide long non-coding RNA. RefSeq lists it as uncharacterized. The transcript is spliced from 2 exons. Lineage: Eukaryota; Metazoa; Chordata; Lepidosauria; Squamata; Rhineuridae. The record is from RefSeq and is a predicted model, not a curated record.
UGGGGCUAGUUUCCUUUUUCCAUCUGUCCCUCCUUGGAGGGAUCUAUAGGCUGGCUGGCUGGGGGGAGCUUGGGGAGACCAUCUGCCUGCUGGAAGAGGAACAUCGUCGAAGGAGGAAUAUCAAGGAGAGCUGCUAUUGCCGACGUUGCACAGAGUAUCAACUUUUCAGCGCUAUCCAAAAGGGCACUAAGAGCUACUCUUCUAAAAACAUUUCCAUGAGCUUCCUUGAUAAACUGAACCAGUUGCCGGAUGUCACAGUACAAUCCCUAAGAAAGAGAGAGGGAAAGAAUGAAAGACCAAUGUGUUAUGAGGUCAAUUAAAGGGAAACUUCAGAAUUAUUUUCCCCAUAAUCAUGAUUUUUAAACAACAUCACCCCAAGUUUCAGUUCUUUCAUUUUAAAGUUGCUGCUAUUGCCAUAACUAAGAAUCUUAAAAAUAUGAAGUGAAUUUAACCAAUAAAGUGGACCUUGCCUAAAUAUACCCAAGACUGCUUGGAAAGGGAACUGCCAGGUGCUGUCAUCUCCCCCAACAUGGGAAUGACUCCUUCAUGUCAAUUAACAGUGACUGGAUUUGAUGUAGAUGUGGACAUUUUACAUGAAAGAAUGUUAUUCUUUGAAGAUCUUUGGAACUGCAGAGCAGAUUCCAGAAGGCAUUUGCCAACAUGAUUUUUCACUAAGAGAAGUGACACAGCUCUAGUAUAUUGAGGAUUUAAUUUCAUGUUAAUUGAACAUCUUUGUCAACAUUUGGAGACAAAAGAAUAAAACCAAAUGCAGAUUUGCCUUAUGGACUCUCUCCCAUGUGCUCUCAUUUCAGCAUAUGUAUAUAAAUGCUUAUGCUGCUAUAUGCCAGGAUUUCAUGGCAUGUCUGUUAUUAAAGAAUUGAUGUAAAUGUC